RNAcentral lists this ribosomal RNA (1501 nucleotides) under Demequina maris. RNAcentral describes it as "bacterial SSU rRNA". It matches the Rfam family "Bacterial small subunit ribosomal RNA". The record is from RNAcentral. Lineage: Bacteria; Bacillati; Actinomycetota; Actinomycetes; Micrococcales; Demequinaceae.
AGAGUUUGAUCCUGGCUCAGGACGAACGCUGGCGGCGUGCUUAACACAUGCAAGUCGAACGGUGAACCCCAGCUUGCUGGGGGGAUCAGUGGCGAACGGGUGAGUAACACGUGAGUAACCUGCCCCAGACUCUGGGAUAAGCCUUGGAAACGGGGUCUAAUACCGGAUAAGCGGCACCACCGCAUGGUGAGUGUUGGGAAAGUUUUUCGGUCUGGGAUGGACUCGCGGCCUAUCAGCUUGUUGGUGAGGUAAUGGCUCACCAAGGCGACGACGGGUAGCCGGCCUGAGAGGGCGACCGGCCACACUGGAACUGAGACACGGUCCAGACUCCUACGGGAGGCAGCAGUGGGGAAUAUUGCACAAUGGGCGCAAGCCUGAUGCAGCGACGCCGCGUGGGGGAUGAAGGCCUUCGGGUUGUAAACCCCUUUCAGCAGGGAAGAAGCGAGAGUGACGGUACCUGCAGAAGAAGCGCCGGCUAACUACGUGCCAGCAGCCGCGGUAAUACGUAGGGCGCAAGCGUUGUCCGGAAUUAUUGGGCGUAAAGAGCUCGUAGGCGGUUUGUCGCGUCUGCUGUGAAAUCCCGAGGCUCAACCUCGGGCCUGCAGUGGGUACGGGCAGACUAGAGUGUGGUAGGGGAGACUGGAAUUCCUGGUGUAGCGGUGGAAUGCGCAGAUAUCAGGAGGAACACCGAUGGCGAAGGCAGGUCUCUGGGCCACAACUGACGCUGAGGAGCGAAAGCGUGGGGAGCGAACAGGAUUAGAUACCCUGGUAGUCCACGCCGUAAACGGUGGGCACUAGAUGUGGGGCUCUUUCCAUGAGUUCCGCGUCGCAGCUAACGCAUUAAGUGCCCCGCCUGGGGAGUACGGCCGCAAGGCUAAAACUCAAAGGAAUUGACGGGGGCCCGCACAAGCGGCGGAGCAUGCGGAUUAAUUCGAUGCAACGCGAAGAACCUUACCAAGGCUUGACAUAUACCCUCUAUCCCCAGAGAUGGGGAGUGCUUCGGCGGGGUAUACAGGUGGUGCAUGGUUGUCGUCAGCUCGUGUCGUGAGAUGUUGGGUUAAGUCCCGCAACGAGCGCAACCCUCGUCCUAUGUUGCCAGCACGUGAUGGUGGGGACUCAUAGGAGACUGCCGGGGUCAACUCGGAGGAAGGUGGGGAUGACGUCAAAUCAUCAUGCCCCUUAUGUCUUGGGCUUCACGCAUGCUACAAUGGCCGGUACAAUGGGCUGCGAUACCGUAAGGUGGAGCGAAUCCCAAAAAGCCGGUCUCAGUUCGGAUUGAGGUCUGCAACUCGACCUCAUGAAGUCGGAGUCGCUAGUAAUCGCAGAUCAGCAACGCUGCGGUGAAUACGUUCCCGGGCCUUGUACACACCGCCCGUCAAGUCACGAAAGUCGGUAACACCCGAAGCCAGUGGCCCAACUCGUAAGAGAGGGAGCUGUCUAAGGUGGGAUUGGCGAUUGGGACUAAGUCGUAACAAGGUAGCCGUACCGGAAGGUGCGGCUG